This 153-nucleotide small RNA is filed under the name uncultured Atopostipes sp. Its description in RNAcentral is "M-box riboswitch (ykoK leader)". It matches the Rfam family "M-box riboswitch aptamer (ykoK leader)", at positions 11 to 159 of the family's 169-position model. Rfam says of the family: M-box riboswitch, also know as ykoK leader is described as a metaloregulatory RNA that sense divalent metals and function as a genetic control element of genes related to divalent metal transport in bacteria. It was first reported upstream of the B.subtilis ykoK gene and genes with related functions in other bacteria. Phylogenetic analysis of the distribution of M-box RNAs across bacterial genomes revealed that M-box riboswitches are most often employed for the regulation of Mg2+ transporter genes Lineage: Bacteria; Bacillati; Bacillota; Bacilli; Lactobacillales; Carnobacteriaceae. The record is from RNAcentral.
UGAUUUGUUAGGCAGAGGCUCCUAUGCAAACAUAAGCUACUGCCCAGGAACGUCCAGAGACGCCAAUGGGUAUAACAGAAAUUUUCGAAAUAAGGAAAUUUUUAAUGUAGCUAACCUCUCGUUUACGUUGCAUAGUGCUGAAACUCCACGAAA